GGCGUGUACUGCUUGGCUGGGCCUUACUUCUUGGUGAGCCGGCGUGCCCUUUAUUGGUGUGCGUUGGGGAACCAGACUUUUACCUUGAGAAAUUAGAGUGUUCAAAGCAGGCCUAUGCCUGAAUACAUUAGCAUGAAUAAUAGAAUAGGACGUGCGGUCUAUUUGUUGGUUUCUAGAGUCACUGUAAUGAUAAUAGGGACAGUUGGGGGCAUUGGUAUUGAGUCGCUAGAGGUGAAAUUCUUGGAUUGACUCAAGACCGACUAUUGCGAAAGCAUUUGCCAAGGAUGUUUUCAUUAAUCAAGAACGAAGGUUAGGGGAUCGAAAACGAUCAGAUACCGUUGUAGUCUUAACAGUAAACUAUGCCGACUAGGGAUUGGAUGACCUCAAAAUUGAUGUGUCAUUUGGCACCUUACGAGAAAUCAAAGUCUUUGGGUUCUGGGGGGAGUAUGGUUGCAAGGCUGAAACUUAAAGGAAUUGACAGAAGGGCACCACCAGGUGUGGAGCCUGCGGCUUAAUUUGACUCAACACGGGGAAACUCACCAGGUCCAGACAUAACUAGGAUUGACAGAUUGAUAGCUCUUUCAUGAUUUUAUGGGUGGUGGUGCAUGGCCAUUCUUAGUUGGUAGAGUGAUUUGUCUGGUUAAUUCCGAUAACGAACGAGACCUUAACCUGCUAAAUAGCCAGGCCGGCUUCAGUUGGUCUCUGGCUUCUUAGAGGGACUGUCAG
Molecule: ribosomal RNA, 726 nt
Filed under: uncultured eukaryote
Lineage: Eukaryota
Description: SSU rRNA
Rfam family: Eukaryotic small subunit ribosomal RNA
Source: RNAcentral